This is a small nucleolar RNA of Cynara cardunculus var. scolymus (artichoke), 85 nucleotides long. RefSeq annotates it as small nucleolar RNA R12. NCBI's taxonomy places the organism in Eukaryota, Viridiplantae, Streptophyta, Magnoliopsida, Asterales, Asteraceae. The transcript has a single exon. The record is from RefSeq and is a predicted model, not a curated record.
AUGCAGAUGAUGAAAACUCAGACAAAUUUCUAUUGAUUCAUCUUCAAGAGAAAGGUGAAGUUACAACCAGCUACUUCUGACACAU